Molecule: small nuclear RNA, 101 nt
Organism: Cornus florida
Lineage: Eukaryota; Viridiplantae; Streptophyta; Magnoliopsida; Cornales; Cornaceae
Source: RefSeq, a predicted model, not a curated record
GUCCCUUCGGGAAAUCCGUUAAAAUUGGAACUUUACAGCGAAGAUUAGCAUGGCCCUGCGCAAGGAUGACACGCACAAAUUGAGGAACGGUCCAAUUUUUU